Scleropages formosus (Asian bonytongue) is the source of this 1578-nucleotide long non-coding RNA. The record is from Ensembl. NCBI's taxonomy places the organism in Eukaryota, Metazoa, Chordata, Actinopteri, Osteoglossiformes, Osteoglossidae.
CUGACACAUGCAAAUACUAUGGGCAAUUCAGAGUCACCAGUUCACCUGAAACAUGUCUUUAGACUGUUGCAUGAAGCUGGAGCACCUGGCAUGAAGCAUGGAUCUCAGCAAAGUCAUAAACAUGUGGUUGGAACAUGUGGUUGAACUGUUAGAACUGAGAUGUAAAGUUUUGCCCUAUGUGACCAUUCUGAAAUGUACAUGAUGAAUUUACUGUUUCAGUCCCACCGGAGGUCUUGUCCAGCAGCACCCUCAUGAUGGUGGGCUGCGUGCCCCUUGCCUGGACUUUCAUGUGUGGAGAUGAAAGGCAGGACAGCAUGGACCCAAGCCUGCACUAUUGGCAUCAAAGUUACCCUCAUCCAAGGACCUCAGAUCUAUCCUUCCGUUUUCAGGAUUCCUUCUCACUUACUGACAAACUCCACCAGCCCGAUCAUUCCCAACGGUACGUUUUCAUAGGCAACCCUAGCUCUUCGUAUCUUUCCCCACGCCCAGCUUCAUGGGGCUCGCCCACUAUCAAAUUCCAGGGUUCCCACCACCCAGCAGAGUGGCCUAAGGCGUGGAGCGGGUGGAGAGAGCUGUGAACCCUGGCAGCCAUCUUGUAGGUCUUGUGCAAUAGCCGCCAAGGGAAAACGUGGGGCCCUAAUCGGAUCCCCGAGCAAGAGCAGGGGAAAACAGUGGGGGGCAGUGAAAAUCAGUUUCCCUCCCUGCAACAUGAUCUCCACAACAAGGAGGAAAAGACAGAGGGAGAGAGAACGAGGGCAAAAGCUCAAAGAAGGGCUGACUUGCGGAAAGAGCUGAUUAGCGGAGGACCCAUAUCAGGUAUGCGCAGGGGGGAAGCUCGGCCAGUCACAAGACUGCUGUGUCGUCCUUGUUGGCAUGAGCUGACGCACAAUUCGUCUGUCACACACUCCUUCUGUCACACAAAUACAAAUACAGAAGAAUGCAGAGACCCACACAAAGAAUGCACUAGGGCACACACACUGCUGGAUUCCACAUAUCUUGGGCUGAAUGCUCCAGCCUGUCCUCGACCCUUACUGAGUUUGCUCACUGUCUAGCAGGUUACAUACAGCGGAGCAGAGGUUAAAGAUGGCACAGUGCCAGCGCCACACAGCAAAGCGUGAUGCUGGCAGUUCAUUGGCCACAGGUCCUUGCUUUGCUUUUUGCUCUGCUGAAAUGACAUGUGCUCCUGAACUGGGCCACCUCCCACCCGGACCUUGGCCAUCUGCAAAACAAGGCAGUUAUGCCUUCAGGAAAUCUUUGCUUUCUUUGGCAUCUGAGCAAAGUUGGAGAUUCCAUCACCAUCAACCUGUACGAGACCUCAAGAACUGCCCGAGUUACCAUUGAACAGAAAUUGUGCUCUGAAACAGAUGGAAGGGAUACUUUAGGAAAUGUUUGUUGGUGCCGAUCUGCACAGUUGCUUGAGCCCACAAAUGGUACAGCCUUUAGGGCCCUCAAAAGACCUCCACAAAUCAGAAUUAGAACUCAUUACCUAAAUUCAUACAGUCAGUUCUUUUAUUUUGUACUCAUAUCAUGUGUAACAAUCUUGUGUCUCUAGGCCACUUAUCAUAAAAUGAACCCUAA